RNAcentral lists this transfer RNA (74 nucleotides) under Prevotella sp. RNAcentral's name for it is "tRNA-His". It matches the Rfam family "tRNA". Rfam says of the family: Transfer RNA (tRNA) molecules are approximately 80 nucleotides in length. The record is from RNAcentral. Lineage: Bacteria; Pseudomonadati; Bacteroidota; Bacteroidia; Bacteroidales; Prevotellaceae. RNAcentral also lists the same sequence under 1 other name.
GUGGAUAUAGUUCAGUUGGUUAGAGCGUCAGAUUGUGGUUCUGAAUGUCGUGGGUUCGAGUCCCACUAUCCACC